CCUACGGGUGGCAGCAGUGAGGAAUAUUGGUCAAUGGGCGCGAGCCUGAACCAGCCAAGUAGCGUGAAGGAUGACUGCCCUACGGGUUGUAAACUUCUUUUAUAAAGGAAUAAAGUGAGGCACGUGUGCCUUUUGUAUGUACUUUAUGAAUAAGGAUCGGCUAACUCCGUGCCAGCAGCCGCGGUAAUACGGAGGCUCCGGGCGUUAUCCGGAUUUAUUGGGUUUAAAGGGAGCGUAGAUGGGUUGUUAAGUCAGUUGUGAAAGUUUACGGCUCAACCGUAAAAUUGCAAUUGAUACUGGCAGUCUUGAGUACAGUUGAGGUAGGCGGAAUUCGGGGUGUAGCGGUGAAAUGCGUAGAUAUGACGAAGAACUCCGAUGGCGAAGGCAGCUUACUAAAAUGCCACUGACAUUGAUGUUCGAAAGUGUGGGUAUCAAACAGGAUUAGAUACCCUGGUAGUC
Molecule: ribosomal RNA, 459 nt
Filed under: uncultured bacterium
Lineage: Bacteria
Description: partial 16S ribosomal RNA
Rfam family: Bacterial small subunit ribosomal RNA
Source: RNAcentral